This 390-nucleotide ribosomal RNA is filed under the name Triticum aestivum (bread wheat). RNAcentral describes it as "partial small subunit ribosomal RNA". Lineage: Eukaryota; Viridiplantae; Streptophyta; Magnoliopsida; Poales; Poaceae. The record is from RNAcentral.
AUGAACAAACAACCAGAGCACUGGAAUUAUGUAGAUAAAUCACUGGGUUAUGGUUUGGGGACAAGUCCUACUUUUGAAGGGAUGGAACAAGUACUCAACCUUAGUUAUAAUAAUCUUCCUCGGCGUUUGAAGGCAUGCAUGUUGUAUCUCAGCAUAUAUGAAGCAGAUUACAUUAUUUUGAAGGACGAUUUGGUAAAGCAAUGGACUGCUGAAGGUAUUGUCUGUGAAACAGAAGAGAAAAACGUGGAGGAAAUCUCAAGGAGAUAUUUUGAUGAGCUUAUAAGAAACAGAAUGAUCCAGCCUGUCCAUUUAAAUGACAACGGUGAGGUUUUAUCCUGCACAGUACACCACAUGGUACUUAACUUCAUUGCCCACAAGUCUAUAGAAUAG